AGUGAACGCUGGCGGUAGGCCUAACACAUGCAAGUCGAACGGCAGCACAGUAAGAGCUUGCUCUUACGGGUGGCGAGUGGCGGACGGGUGAGGAAUACAUCGGAAUCUACUUUUUCGUGGGGGAUAACGUAGGGAAACUUACGCUAAUACCGCAUACGACCUACGGGUGAAAGCAGGGGAUCUUCGGACCUUGCGCGAUUGAAUGAGCCGAUGUCGGAUUAGCUAGUUGGCGGGGUAAAGGCCCACCAAGGCGACGAUCCGUAGCUGGUCUGAGAGGAUGAUCAGCCACACUGGAACUGAGACACGGUCCAGACUCCUAAGGGAGGCAGCAGUGGGGAAUAUUGGACAAUGGGCGCAAGCCUGAUCCAGGCAUACCGCGUGGGUGAAGAAGGCCUUCGGGUUGUAAAGCCCUUUUGUUGGGAAAGAAAAGCAGCAGGUUAAUACCCCGCUGUUCUGACGGUACCCAAAGAAUAAGCACCGGCUAACUCCGUG
Molecule: ribosomal RNA, 492 nt
Filed under: uncultured bacterium
Lineage: Bacteria
Description: partial 16S ribosomal RNA
Rfam family: Bacterial small subunit ribosomal RNA
Source: RNAcentral